GGUUAAGUUAGAAAGGGCGCACGGUGGAUGCCUUGGCACUAGGAGCCGAUGAAGGACGGGACGAACACCGAUAUGCUUCGGGGAGCUGUAAGCAAGCUUUGAUCCGGAGAUUUCCGAAUGGGGAAACCCACCACUCGUAAUGGAGUGGUAUCCAUAUCUGAAUACAUAGGAUAUGAGAAGGCAGACCUGGGGAACUGAAACAUCUAAGUACCCGGAGGAAGAGAAAGCAAAUGCGAUUCCCUGAGUAGCGGCGAGCGAAACGGGACCAGCCCAAACCAAGAGGCUUGCCUCUUGGGGUUGUAGGACACUCUGUACGGAGUUACAAAGGAACGAGGUAGAUGAAGAGGUCUGGAAAGGCCCGCCAUAGGAGGUAACAGCCCUGUAGUCAAAACUUUGUUCUCUCCUGAGUGGAUCCUGAGUACGGCGGAACACGUGAAAUUCCGUCGGAAUCCGGGAGGACCAUCUCCCAAGGCUAAAUACUCCCUAGUGACCGAUAGUGAACCAGUACCGUGAGGGAAAGGUGAAAAGCACCCCGGAAGGGGAGUGAAAGAGAUCCUGAAACCGUGUGCCUACAAGUAGUCAGAGCCCGUUAACGGGUGAUGGCGUGCCUUUUGUAGAAUGAACCGGCGAGUUACGAUCCCGUGCAAGGUUAAGCAGAAGAUGCGGAGCCGCAGCGAAAGCGAGUCUGAAUAGGGCGAAUUGAGUACGUGGUCGUAGACCCGAAACCAGGUGAUCUACCCAUGUCCAGGGUGAAGUUCAGGUAACACUGAAUGGAGGCCCGAACCCACGCACGUUGAAAAGUGCGGGGAUGAGGUGUGGGUAGGGGUGAAAUGCCAAUCGAACCUGGAGAUAGCUGGUUCUCUCCGAAAUAGCUUUAGGGCUAGCCUCAAGGUAAGAGUCUCGGAGGUAGAGCACUGAUUGGACUAGGGGCCCCUACCGGGUUACCGAAUUCAGUCAAACUCCGAAUGCCGAUUACUUAUCCUUGGGAGUCAGACUGCGAGUGAUAAGAUCCGUAGUCGAAAGGGAAACAGCCCAGACCGCCAGCUAAGGUCCCAAAGUAUACGUUAAGUGGAAAAGGAUGUGGAGUUGCUUAGACAACCAGGAUGUUGGCUUAGAAGCAGCCACCAUUUAAAGAGUGCGUAAUAGCUCACUGGUCGAGUGACUCUGCGCCGAAAAUGUACCGGGGCUAAACGUAUCACCGAAGCUGCGGACUGUUCUUCGAACAGUGGUAGGAGAGCGUUCUAAGGGCUGUGAAGCAAGACCGGAAGGACUUGUGGAGCGCUUAGAAGUGAGAAUGCCGGUAUGAGUAGCGAAAGAGGGGUGAGAAUCCCCUCCACCGAAUGCCUAAGGUUUCCUGAGGAAGGCUCGUCCGCUCAGGGUUAGUCGGGACCUAAGCCGAGGCCGAAAGGCGUAGGCGAUGGAUAACAGGUUGAUAUUCCUGUACCACCUCCUCACCAUUUGAGCAAUGGGGGGACGCAGGAGGAUAGGGUAAGCGCGGUAUUGGAUAUCCGCGUCCAAGCAGUUAGGCUGGGAAAUAGGCAAAUCCGUUUCCCGUGAAGGCUGAGCUGUGAUGGCGAGCGAAUUAUAGUAGCGAAGUUCCUGAUUCCACACUGCCAAGAAAAGCCUCUAGCGAGGUGAGAGGUGCCCGUACCGCAAACCGACACAGGUAGGCGAGGAGAGAAUCCUAAGGUGAUCGAGAGAACUCUCGUUAAGGAACUCGGCAAAAUGACCCCGUAACUUCGGGAGAAGGGGUGCUCUGUUAGGGUGCAAGCCCGAGAGAGCCGCAGUGAAUAGGCCCAGGCGACUGUUUAGCAAAAACACAGGUCUCUGCGAAGCCGUAAGGCGAAGUAUAGGGGCUGACGCCUGCCCGGUGCUGGAAGGUUAAGAGGAGCGCUUAGCGUAAGCGAAGGUGCGAAUUGAAGCCCCAGUAAACGGCGGCCGUAACUAUAACGGUCCUAAGGUAGCGAAAUUCCUUGUCGGGUAAGUUCCGACCCGCACGAAAGGUGCAACGAUCUGGGCACUGUCUCAACGAGAGACUCGGUGAAAUUAUAGUACCUGUGAAGAUGCAGGUUACCCGCGACAGGACGGAAAGACCCCGUGGAGCUUUACUGCAGCCUGAUAUUGAAUGUUGGUACAGCUUGUACAGGAUAGGUAGGAGCCUUGGAAACCGGAGCGCCAGCUUCGGUGGAGGCAUCGGUGGGAUACUACCCUGGCUGUAUUGACCUUCUAACCCGCCGCCCUUAUCGGGCGGGGAGACAGUGUCAGGUGGGCAGUUUGACUGGGGCGGUCGCCUCCUAAAAGGUAACGGAGGCGCCCAAAGGUUCCCUCAGAAUGGUUGGAAAUCAUUCGCAGAGUGUAAAGGCACAAGGGAGCUUGACUGCGAGACCUACAAGUCGAGCAGGGACGAAAGUCGGGCUUAGUGAUCCGGUGGUUCCGCAUGGAAGGGCCAUCGCUCAACGGAUAAAAGCUACCCCGGGGAUAACAGGCUUAUCUCCCCCAAGAGUCCACAUCGACGGGGAGGUUUGGCACCUCGAUGUCGGCUCAUCGCAUCCUGGGGCUGUAGUCGGUCCCAAGGGUUGGGCUGUUCGCCCAUUAAAGCGGUACGCGAGCUGGGUUCAGAACGUCGUGAGACAGUUCGGUCCCUAUCCGUCGCGGGCGCAGGAAAUUUGAGAGGAGCUGUCCUUAGUACGAGAGGACCGGGAUGGACGCACCGCUGGUGUACCAGUUGUUCUGCCAAGGGCAUCGCUGGGUAGCUAUGUGCGGACGGGAUAAGUGCUGAAAGCAUCUAAGCAUGAAGCCCCCCUCAAGAUGAGAUUUCCCAUUCCGCAAGGAAGUAAGAUCCCUGAAAGAUGAUCAGGUUGAUAGGUCUGAGGUGGAAGUGUGGCGACACAUGGAGCUGACAGAUACUAAUCGAUCGAGGACUUAACCAA
Molecule: ribosomal RNA, 2930 nt
Filed under: Bacillus velezensis
Lineage: Bacteria; Bacillati; Bacillota; Bacilli; Caryophanales; Bacillaceae
Description: 23S ribosomal RNA
Rfam family: Bacterial large subunit ribosomal RNA
Source: RNAcentral